This 469-nucleotide ribosomal RNA is filed under the name uncultured Sphingomonas sp. Its description in RNAcentral is "bacterial SSU rRNA". It matches the Rfam family "Bacterial small subunit ribosomal RNA", at positions 10 to 524 of the family's 1533-position model. The record is from RNAcentral. Lineage: Bacteria; Pseudomonadati; Pseudomonadota; Alphaproteobacteria; Sphingomonadales; Sphingomonadaceae.
AGUUUUGAUCCUGGCUCAGAACGAACGCUGGCGGCAUGCCUAACACAUGCAAGUCGAACGAGACCUUCGGGUCUAGUGGCGCACGGGUGCGUAACGCGUGGGAAUCUGCCCUUGGGUUCGGAAUAACACUUAGAAAUUUGUGCUAAUACCGGAUGAUGACGAAAGCCCAAAGAUUUAUCGCCCAGGGAUGAGCCCGCGUAGGAUUAGCUAGUUGGUGAGGUAAAGGCUCACCAAGGCGACGAUCCUUAGCUGGUCUGAGAGGAUGAUCAGCCACACUGGGACUGAGACACGGCCCAGACUCCUACGGGAGGCAGCAGUGGGGAAUAUUGGACAAUGGGCGAAAGCCUGAUCCAGCAAUGCCGCGUGAGUGAUGAAGGCCUUAGGGUUGUAAAGCUCUUUUACCCGGGAUGAUAAUGACUGUACCGGGAGAAUAAGCCCCGGCUAACUCCGUGCCAGCAGCCGCGGUAAU